GUCACUUUGCCGGAGUGGUUAACGGGAUCGCCUGCUAUUCCUAGCUGUCAGCGGUUGUGCUUUGCACGCGAGUGUUCGAAUCGCUCAGGUGACG
RNAcentral lists this transfer RNA (94 nucleotides) under Hermanssonia centrifuga. RNAcentral describes it as "Phlebia centrifuga tRNA-Ser". It matches the Rfam family "tRNA". From Rfam's summary of the family: Transfer RNA (tRNA) molecules are approximately 80 nucleotides in length. Their secondary structure includes four short double-helical elements and three loops (D, anti-codon, and T loops). Further hydrogen bonds mediate the characteristic L-shaped molecular structure. tRNAs have two regions of fundamental functional importance: the anti-codon, which is responsible for specific mRNA codon recognition, and the 3' end, to which the tRNAs corresponding amino acid is attached (by aminoacyl-tRNA synthetases). tRNAs cope with the degeneracy of the genetic code in two manners: having more than one tRNA (with a specific anti-codon) for a particular amino acid; and 'wobble' base-pairing, i.e. permitting non-standard base-pairing at the 3rd anti-codon position. Lineage: Eukaryota; Fungi; Basidiomycota; Agaricomycetes; Polyporales; Meruliaceae. The record is from RNAcentral.